GACGAACGCUGGCGGCGUGCUUAACACACGCAAGUCGAACGGUAAGGCCCUUCGGGGUACACGAGUGGCGAACGGGUGAGUAACACGUGGGUGAUCCGCCCUGCACUUCGGGAUAAGCCUGGGAAACUGGGUCUAAUACCGGAUAGGACCACUGCCUGCAUGGGUGGUGGUGGAAAGCUUUUGCGGUGUGGGAUGGGCCCGCGGCCUAUCAGCUUGUUGGUGGGGUGAUGGCCUACCAAGGCGACGACGGGUAGCCGGCCUGAGAGGGUGACCGGCCACACUAGGCCUGGGAUACGGCCCAGACUCCUCCGGGAGGCAGCAGUGGGGAAUAUUGCACAAUGGGGGCAAGCCUGAAGCAGCGACGCCGCGUGAGGGGUGACGGCCUUCGGGUUGUAAACCUCUUGCAGCACCGGGGAAGCACAGGUGACGGUAGGUGCAGAAGAAGAACCGGCGAACUACGUGCCAGCAGCCGCGGUAA
Molecule: ribosomal RNA, 478 nt
Filed under: uncultured bacterium
Lineage: Bacteria
Description: partial 16S ribosomal RNA
Rfam family: Bacterial small subunit ribosomal RNA
Source: RNAcentral